This 565-nucleotide ribosomal RNA is filed under the name uncultured bacterium. RNAcentral describes it as "bacterial SSU rRNA". It matches the Rfam family "Bacterial small subunit ribosomal RNA", at positions 355 to 909 of the family's 1533-position model. The record is from RNAcentral.
UGGGGAAUAUUGCACAAUGGGCGCAAGCCUGAUGCAGCCAUGCCGCGUGUGUGAAGAAGGCCUUCGGGUUGUAAAGCACUUUCAGUCGUGAGGAAGGUAGUGUAGUUAAUAGCUGCAUUAUUUGACGUUAGCGACAGAAGAAGCACCGGCUAACUCCGUGCCAGCAGCCGCGGUAAUACGGAGGGUGCGAGCGUUAAUCGGAAUUACUGGGCGUAAAGCGCAUGCAGGUGGUUUGUUAAGUCAGAUGUGAAAGCCCGGGGCUCAACCUCGGAAUAGCAUUUGAAACUGGCAGACUAGAGUACUGUAGAGGGGGUGAGAAGUUUCAGGUGUAGCGGUGAAAUGCGUAGAGAUCUGAAGGAAUACCGGUGGCGAAGGCGGCCCCCUGCAGCAGAUACUGACACUCAGAUGCGAAAAGCGUGGGGAGCAAACAGGAUUAGAUACCCUGGUAGUCCACGCCGUAAACGAUGUCUACUUGGAGGUUGUGGCCUUGAGCCGUGGCUUUCGGAGCUAACGCGUUAAGUAGACCGCCUGGGAGUACGGUCGCAAGAUUAAAAGCUCAAAUGAA